RNAcentral lists this long non-coding RNA (3774 nucleotides) under Homo sapiens (human). RNAcentral's name for it is "long non-coding RNA NONHSAT178072.1". Lineage: Eukaryota; Metazoa; Chordata; Mammalia; Primates; Hominidae. The record is from RNAcentral.
AUCGCACCUGUAGUCAUUCCUAGGAGUGGGGCUUAAGAUGAUGCUUUUCCGUUUUAAAACAAGUAGCAGCAAUACCCCCUAGGAGGCCAACUAUGCUUUCAUUCAUCUAUUUGUUAACGUAGCAAGUAUUUAUUAAACAUCUGCUGUUGCCAAUACAUCAGUGAACAAAAUGAGUAACAUCUCUGCCCUCCAUGGAGCUCACUUGUAGUAGUUGGAGACAAGCAAUAACAAUGAAUAUUAAUUAAUUACACAUUUUGAAGCAGGAGCUAACAAAUUUGAUGAAAGAUAGGAUACAGAAGAUGAGGAAAAGAGGAUUCAACGAUGAGGCUAUGGUGACUGGUCUGAUGAUGCAGCUGCCAUUGACUGAUAUGGGGAAAAUGAGAGGAAAAGCAAAUUUGGAUUUCAAGUGUUUAUGUAGAGAUGCCUGCUAGACAGCAGAUAAAACACUUUGAGUAGAUACACGGAUGUGUGAGACCGGAGUCCAGGAGGGUGUUGUGGGGAGGAGACGCACCUUUGUGAGCACCAUGCUGUAGACCUAUUCAGAGCCGUGGACCUCAUGCUAUCAACAGAGGAGUGAGGGUAUCGAGAGAAGACGAUAAAUUCAGAACACAUGCUCUGGGGCACUGCAAACUUUACAAUAUGGAGAGAUAAAGAAAAACCAGCAAAAAUAAUUGAGAAUCAGGAACGAGUGAGGUAAGAGAAAAUCAAGGAGACUGUUGCAUCCCGGAAACCAAAUAGAAAAGUGUUUCCAGGAGGAUGUGAUUGGCUCAGAAAAAGCCACUGAGAUAACAAUAAGCAGGACGUAUCAUUGGGUUGAGAGGAUGACUUGUAAACUCCAUGAAGGCAGUGCAAUUCCGAAGACAAGGGAAGAGAACUGGAGAAAGUGGGUUAGAAAACUCUCAGGGGUGACACUUUUCUUGAGGAAAAGCAUAGAAAAAAUGAUGACAUCUGCAGGGGUUAUAGAAUCAAAAGGAUUUUUGAGAAGGUGGAAAAAGUUAAACGACAUUUGUAAGCUGAUGCACACGACCCAGGAUAAAGGGAAAACAGGUGAGGCCCAUGGGAAGGCAGAGUUUCUGGAAGAAAGUCCUUGUGUUCUAGCGCCCACAUGAGGGAGUUGAAUUUAAAUGGGUGCAUGACUGCGUCCUAAAGAAUGAAAAGAGAGAAAGCGAGAAUAAGGUAACAGCUGCAGAUGAGUCAAUUGGACAGUGGGAGAUUGAAGAUGUUUUCGAGUGUAUGAACCAAUCUUUUUUUUUUUUUUUUUUUUUUGUGAUAGAGUCUCCCUCUUGUUGCACAGGCUGGAGUGCAGUGGUGCAAUCUUGGCUCCCUGCAACUGCGCCUCCCAAGUUCAAGCGAUUCUCUUGCCUCAGCCUCCUGAGUAGCUGGGAUUACAGACGCCUGCCACCAAGCCCAGCUAAUUUUUGUACUUUUAGUAGAGACUGGGUUUUGUCAAUUUUCUUAAUAAAAUACCAGCUACAGGAACCAGCUGAGAGUGACAAUGAGGAAAGAGGUGUUGGAAGUAGAUAGUCUUCAAAUGCGGGCGAUUUUGCUCCCCUUGGGACAUUGGGCAGUGUCUGGAGACAUUUGUGGUUGUACAACUUGGGGAAGAAAAAAUGAUACUGGCCUUGGGUGAGCAGAGGCCAGAGAUGCGUUUCAAUAUCCCACAACGCACAGGGCAGCCCGCACAGCAGGGCCCCUGGGACAAAGUGCCAACAACGCCGAGGUGGGGAGGCCACACUACGAAAGAGUGAUGGAGUGUCGUGUGUUGCCAUACAAUGCUGAGGGCACAUCUGAAAUCGGUGAUCAGAGAUUGAGGGAGCCAAUAUCUUCAUGUAAUGCUCUGAGUGCUGUGAGAUGCUCCCUGAGUACACAACAGCCAUUUCUACCACCUCUUCUCAUGUCCAGUCAUGCAAGUCUCCAAAGACAAGGUCACUAGUUGCCUGUGGCUGCUGUGACAAACACCACAACCUGGGGAGUUUAAAACCCCAGAAAUCCAUGCUGUCGCGGUUCUGGAACCAGAGAUCUAAAGUGCAGGGUCAGCAGGGCUGUGUUCGCUCUGAAGGGUCUUGGGAAGGACUUCGUCUCAUAGCUGCCGGUGGCUCCCGGCAAUCUAUGCUUUUCCUUGCUUGCAGCCACAUCCCCCAACCUCUGCCAGCCUUCACAUGUGUUUUCCACUUUUUAAAUUUUUUAUAAGGACACCAGUCGGAUUGGAUUUAGGGCCCAUCAUAGUCCAGUGUGAACUCACUUAGCUGCAAAGACCCUGUUUCUAAAUAAGGUCACAUUCCGAGGUUCCAGUGGUACCUGGAUUUUUGUGGGACACUAUGUGAUCCAGCACAGACAGUUUCAAUUGAUGCCAUUAUUUAAGUCAUUCAAGAUCCCAAAGAGAAGCUCAGUUUCUUUCUCUCCAUUUUGAAGUCUUGGAAUUUCCUUCCAUUUUAUUUUAAUGUCCACUCAUGUAUUUUUCCUGCCCUCCUCAGCAACCUGGAGCUGUGCGGACUGAGACUGAGAUGCAUCGCUGAAACUCUCUUUAGGUGUUCCCUACCAUUUCUUCUUGGAAAAGAAGGUUUUACCUCCUGGGAUUUUUGAGAACCUCUAACUUCUCCAUUGGGGACCAUCUCCAGGUACCACCAAAAAAGAGCACAACAGCAGCCUUGCGGAUAAGUCCUGGUCUGGAGUCAGCCACCGCUGCACACACCACUCAGAGCUGCAUCAUCGGGUUACCCCUGGAAAGGCUGCCCACACACCCACAUCCAGGGGUGUCUCGUCACUGCUGACGACUAGCACGGUGAAUGUUCUGCUUCGUGGAGAGACUAUCAGAGCUGGAAUAUCCAUAGGCUUAUAAUCUUCAUGAAUACUUCCUCUCUCAAUUGCCGUGAAAUAAUAUGGCUCCUCAGUCCAUGAAGCUGGCAUCAAUAACUGAAAUAGGCUCGGAAAAGUCCGGGCAAGAGGAACCUGAAAGCUCAGCAUGAGAUGAAGUGGCUGGAGGCACGUGAGUCCUGCACUGAUAGAGGCCGGUUCUGUCAAGCCUCACCUGGAUGAUGUGUGUGACUCUUCCCAUAGAAAGGAGCAGGCUCUCUCAUGAAGCCUCCAUUCUAGCAUUUUGUGAUCAUCUAUGACCUUAGAGGGGUCCUCUAUAACCCUGAGUCCCAAACAGGUGAAUACAGAGUGGGCUCACACUUAUUUCUCCAUUAUUCCUGUGUUCUUUCAGGAGGCUGACCAUCAAACCUACUUAGAAGUCAGACCUUGAAGAGGCUGAAUAUGAUCUCAGAAGGAGGCAGAACCAGCAGGAAUGGGGGGCGUCGUCCACUCGGAGUCAUUCCGCGGGGCUCCCUGCCUCGUUCUUUCUCUUUGUCCUUGUUACGUAAAAUGUCUUUCACUCUCAACCUGAUUUUUAUUCUAUAAGUAUAAGCUUGGUUUCCGUCAUUAAAUGCAUGACAUGUGGUGUUGGUUUACAAUGUUUGAUGCUGUACUCUGUCUGCGGCUCCAUGUGAUCUUUUUGAAUGACCAUAGACAUGCCUAAUGCUGCCUUCAUACUCUAUACAGACAUUCAGUGAACCUCUAUUAAAUCAAUAAAUGUCGAGUGAUGUUACCAUACCCUUCCUGGGUACCACUUCCAGUCAAGGGUGCUUGCCCAUAUUAUUAGGUUGGACAAAACUGUGCAACAGUAAUUGUGGUUUUUGCCAUUAUUUAUUUAUCCUUAAUAUAUUUAUGCAAAUUCCCUUAAUUAUUUUAUAACUUUGAAAGUAUUAAAACAACAUGAUUAAAAUGCCCCACAAA